GAGGGGCAGCGGGGAGGAAGCUUGCUUUCUCCGCCGGCGACCGGCGCACGGGUGAGUAACACGUAUGCAACCUGCCCCUGUCAGGGGGACAACCCGCCGAAAGGCGGGCUAAACCCGCGUACAUGCCACCGGGGCAUCCCGGAGGCAGGAAAGGCUUCGGCCGGACAGGGAUGGGCAUGCGGCGCAUUAGGCAGUAGGCGGGGUAACGGCCCACCUAACCGACGAUGCGUAGGGGUUCUGAGAGGAAGGUCCCCCACACUGGUACUGAGACACGGACCAGACUCCUACGGGAGGCAGCAGUGAGGAAUAUUGGUCAAUGGUCGGGAGACUGAACCAGCCAAGCCGCGUGAGGGAGGAAGGUACAGAGUAUCGUAAACCUCUUUUGUCAGGGAACAAAGGCGGGGACGUGUCCCCGGAUGAGUGUACCUGAAGAAAAAGCAUCGGCUAACUCCGUGCCAGCAGCCGCGGUAAUACGGAGGAUGCGAGCGUUAUCCGGAUUUAUUGGGUUUAAAGGGUGCGCAGGCGGUCUGUUAAGUCAGCGGUCAAAGCCCGGGGCUCAACCCCGGCCCGCCGUUGAAACUGGCAGUCUCGAGUUGGAGAGAAGUAUGCGGAAUGCGCGGUGUAGCGGUGAAAUGCAUAGAUCUUUUGGAAAACUCCGAUUGCGAAGGCAGCAUGCCGGCUCCACAC
Molecule: ribosomal RNA, 687 nt
Filed under: uncultured bacterium
Lineage: Bacteria
Description: bacterial SSU rRNA
Rfam family: Bacterial small subunit ribosomal RNA
Source: RNAcentral